CUUGGGUGACGAGUGGCGGACGGGUGAGUAAUGCUUAGGAACAUGCCUUUGUGUGGGGGAUAACUAUUGGAAACGAUAGCUAAUACCGCAUAACGUCUUCGGACCAAAGGGGGCUUCGGCUCUCGCGCAAAGAGUGGCCUAAGCGAGAUUAGCUUGUUGGUGAGGUAAAGGCUCACCAAGGCGACGAUCUCUAGCUGUUCUGAGAGGAAGAUCAGCCACACUGGAACUGAGACACGGUCCAGACUCC
Molecule: ribosomal RNA, 247 nt
Filed under: uncultured bacterium
Lineage: Bacteria
Description: partial 16S ribosomal RNA
Rfam family: Bacterial small subunit ribosomal RNA
Source: RNAcentral